CCGCCGCGGCAGGUGCACGGGCUACUGCCGGUGGACGUCGCCGCCGCCGUAGGGCACGUCGCCAACGCCGCCCUCCGCGGCCGCCGCUGGAGUCAUCGCCGCCGCCGCAGGAGUCAACCGCUGCCGCAGGAGCACGUCGCCCCUGCCGCCGUGGGGACACGUCACCAACGCCGCCCCCCGCGCCCGUCGCGGCCGCUGCUGGAGUCGUCGCCGCCGUUGCAGGUGCUUGUUGCCCCUGCCGCCGACUCCUGUGAUUUCAUCGCUGUCGUAGAGCGCAAGCCAAAGCUUCUCGAAUGCCACGCAGGGGCCGCCGUCGUCGCCGCCGUGCAGGGGCCGCCGCCGCCGCCGCCGCGCAGGGGCCACCGUCGCCGUCGUGCCUUCAGCGUGGCCACCGCCGCCGCGCCGUCCAGAUCGGGUGAAAGGGUAGGGUUUUGCUAG
This 438-nucleotide long non-coding RNA is filed under the name Oryza sativa Indica Group (long-grained rice). Its description in RNAcentral is "lncRNA OsMH63_04G007320". Lineage: Eukaryota; Viridiplantae; Streptophyta; Magnoliopsida; Poales; Poaceae. The record is from RNAcentral.